RNAcentral lists this ribosomal RNA (138 nucleotides) under Acidiferrobacteraceae bacterium. RNAcentral describes it as "partial 16S ribosomal RNA". It matches the Rfam family "Bacterial small subunit ribosomal RNA", at positions 1 to 112 of the family's 1533-position model. Lineage: Bacteria; Pseudomonadati; Pseudomonadota; Gammaproteobacteria; Acidiferrobacterales; Acidiferrobacteraceae. The record is from RNAcentral.
AAGUUUGAACCGGAGAGUUUGAUCAUGGCUCAGAUUGAACGCUGGCGGUAGGCUUAACACAUGCAAGUCGGACGGCAGCAGACCGUAACAAUCCCUUCGGGGUGCGUUUGGUGCUGGCGAGUGGCGGACGGGUGAGUA